UCCGGUGAAUACAGAGAAAGGGCCACACCUGUUCCCAUCUCGAACACAGAAGUUAAGCCUUUCAUCGCUGAUGGUACUUGGGGGGCAGCCCCCUGGGAGAGUAAGUCGUCGCCGGGU
RNAcentral lists this ribosomal RNA (117 nucleotides) under Acidaminobacter hydrogenoformans DSM 2784. The record is from RNAcentral. Lineage: Bacteria; Bacillati; Bacillota; Clostridia; Peptostreptococcales; Acidaminobacteraceae.